CAACUGGCUUUUUUCAAAGCCAUCCAAU
Molecule: non-coding RNA, 28 nt
Organism: Amphimedon queenslandica
Lineage: Eukaryota; Metazoa; Porifera; Demospongiae; Haplosclerida; Niphatidae
Source: Rfam